UGUUGAAUUUUGAAUGCCUAUGGAUAUCUACUCAUCUGUUGAGACAGACUACAUGUUACGACAUUAGGUGACGUAACAGAAUUGUUGUGUUGUCACAGUAAUAAAUCUACGAAAAGCAGAAUAAAGAACACAACAAUUUAAUGUGGUUCGGAUACAAACGUACCCUACAUCCACGAGGACUUGCAAAACUAGUUCAGAUUUAUGUGUACAUUAAUAGGACUUAAUAAAACACUAAAGACUCCCUCUUUAUGUGAUACGCCGUUCUUGCACACGACUCGAACUUGUUGAUAAUCAAAGCAAUUCCUCCUCCGCACUCUUGGACUUCCUCCAAUGUUGAACUUCCUUCAAACAGCGGAUCGACCUCUCCCGAGAUAUUUUAAGCACUUCUCCCGAAACGCCGAUCUUCUUUAUGGCCUGGUAGAAGAAACCUGUUCUGUUGCCACACCUGCCGUGCAGACAGGGCUGCAGCACGGGCUGCACCCUUCAAAGCCUUUAUGCUGAGAUUUUUCUUAUUAAAGCUCCAUGGGACUCAUAUGAGGUUGAGGGCCUUAUAUAGGCACGAAAUCCACCAACCUAAACCUAACUUGAGCCCUAAGAAAUCGAUUAACUAGGUAAUAAAAUCCUAGUCAAUUUCUACUUCUAUUCUAGAUAAGUACAAAAGAUACCUAACUAGAAUAUAAUACAUAGAAAUAAAUCUAAGUCCUAAUAAAAAUAUUACAAGAAUAGGACUCUAAUUAAUUCCAAAAUAAACAUGGAAAACAAAUCUUUGCCAAUCUUUAAUUUCCACGUAUGGCGGAUUUCUUCAAUCUUCACAAACGGAAAUUUGGUGCCAACAAUCUCCCCCUUUGGCAUAGAUUGGUUAGAAUCCAUGUUUAACAAGAACUCCCCCUGCAGAUGAGAUUUACUCCCCCUGCAACAAAGAUAUCACUUUUCUUCACCCGUCUUGGUCUUCUAUCAGAGUGUCCCAUCACGGGGCACGUUACAACCCUGCGGAAUUGGGUGAAUGCCGUGACAGACUUCCGUCUCAACCUUCCUUGUGAACACACGUCAUCCAAUAAGCAAAGCAAACAAAUCAAAACCCAAAAUCGGACACUAAGUAUAUCUAGUGACCCGCUCUGAUGCCAAUUGUUGAAUUUUGAAUGCCUAUGGAUAUCUACUCAUCUGUUGAGACAGACUACAUGUUACGACAUUAGGUGACGUAACAGAAUUGUUGUGUUGUCACAGUAAUAAAUCUACGAAAAGCAGAAUAAAGAACACAACAAUUUAAUGUGGUUCGGAUACAAACGUACCCUACAUCCACGAGGACUUGCAAAACUAGUUCAGAUUUAUGUGUACAUUAAUAGGACUUAAUAAAACACUAAAGACUCCCUCUUUAUGUGAUACGCCGUUCUUGCACACGACUCGAACUUGUUGACAAUCAAAGCAAUUCCUCCUCCGCACUCUUGGACUUCCUCCAAUGUUGAACUUCCUUCAAACGGCGGAUCGACC
RNAcentral lists this long non-coding RNA (1488 nucleotides) under Erythranthe guttata (spotted monkey flower). Its description in RNAcentral is "long non-coding RNA (EGUT_LNC001396)". Lineage: Eukaryota; Viridiplantae; Streptophyta; Magnoliopsida; Lamiales; Phrymaceae. The record is from RNAcentral.